UUGUCUGAAAGUGAGGACUCUUUCUGCCAUCCGGAUCAUCUACUUUCUGCUUCUUGACCAAGACACAUAUAUGAGCAAACAGGCUAUUCUUCCAAGCCUGGGGAAUGUUAUCCUCUGCAUCUUACCUGUGUUCACAGCAGAGGUUAACUCUUGUCUGACCAUGUAUAUGCUGCGAAGCUCAGAAGAGAAAGGGGUCAUGAAGGAAGCUGAACUUGAGAGAAGGUGGAGGAAGAAGGAAGGCCUACAAAAAUUUCCUCGAGGAGCAAAAGGAAACAUCUCUUAUUUGACUGCUCAUAAAAGAAGCCUAGAGAAGAACCUAGGUCCUCGUAGUCUGCUCUUCGUAGCUGAGGACGGCAUCCAGGAAGGUGAGGAGAACUCUGAGGAGCUGCCUGGCUCUAGCACGGAUUGUACCUUUCUGAGUCUCUGGCCCAAGGAUGGGUUAAUAACUUCUCCCCGGCCUUAUCUUUACUAUCAAA
RNAcentral lists this long non-coding RNA (476 nucleotides) under Mus pahari (shrew mouse). RNAcentral describes it as "lncRNA (MGP_PahariEiJ_G0006086.1)". Lineage: Eukaryota; Metazoa; Chordata; Mammalia; Rodentia; Muridae. The record is from RNAcentral.